AGAGAACUGAGGGAAUCCUCAUUAAUUGGGGAAUAGCUGAACAAGUUGUGGCUUAUAAUUAUUAUGGAGUACUAUUGUGUUAUAAGAAAUGACAAGAGGGAUGGUUUCAGAAAACGUGGCAAGAACUAUAUGAAUGUAAAAUGAGACAGACUGAGAGGUCAUUGUGCACAAUAACAAUAAUGUAAUGAUGAUGAGCUAUGAAAGACUUGGCUACUCCGAUCAACAUAGUGAUCUAAAGACAAUAUCAAAGAAUUCAUAAUGAAAAAAUGGUAGGCAAAUUUUUUCUGACUUCUUGAGGGCAGUGUCUUUGCCUUUGUAUCUGUAGGGCCUCGUGAGAUACUUAACACUCACUAAGUGCUUAAUGUUUGUUAUUUAUCAGUUCCUGCCUAUUACCUCUUGGAUGAAAAGAAAAUCUGGUGUUUAAAGUCUUUUACAACUUGGCUCCAGACUACUUCAUUGCACAUUAUUUUCUUUCCUGCAACCUGCAAUCUGGCCAAAUUGUCUUAAUUGCUUAGGUCAAUAUUCCUCUUUUUCCUAGGUCCUGGAAUGCAUUCUGACCUAUCUUCUACUCCUUAGAAUUUCAUAUUUUCUUCAAGACUCAGUUCAGAAACCAUCUCGGGUGGGAAAACCCUCUUAAAGUUCUUAACUGUUAGUGUUCUCAAUCUCCCUACUGUGUUCACAAUUGCCUAUUUUCAGGUGGUAGUCUUGGGCUCACUGAAGGCAACAGAGAUAAAAGCUAGAGCUGCAAUUAGGGACUGAAAUCCCAUCUUUGACAUUUCUUGGCUAUAUGACCCUGCUGUUCACCAUAACUCUCAAAGACUGUAAAUUGAAGAAUUUUUGUGGAUGUGGGUUUCCACUCAUCUGGACCCUGCUACCCAGAAUGUAAGCGCAUUGAGGGCAGGUUUUCACUUUCUUUUUACAUCCAAUGCCUAAUACACAGUGUUUAGUAAGUGUUUGUUGGUUUGGAUUGGUUUUAACGCCUAGUUUUCCUUCUCUAUCAUUUAAAAAAAAAUGUUAAGUUUAUGGAAUAAAAUACUUUUUUUUUUUAGCUUUUUAUUUUGUGUAGAUGGUUUUCAACACUCACCCUUGCAAAACCUUGUGUUCCAAAUUUUUUUUCCGCUUCCUUCUCCCCACCUCCACCCCUAGACAGCAAGAAAUCCAAUAUAGGUUAAACAGGCACAAUUCUUCCAUAUAUAUUUCUACGAUGCACAAGAAAAUCAAAUUAAAAAGGAAAAAUGAUAAAGAAAACAAAAAGAAAGCAAACAACAAAAAGAGUGAAAGUACUAUGUUGUGAACCACAUUCAGUUCCCACACUCCUCUCUCUGGGUGCAAAGGACUCUCUUCAUCAUAAGACCAUAAGAAUUGGCCUGAAUCAACUCACUGUAAAACGAGCAUUUUUAUAACAGUACAAUAAAAAAAUGAAUAUAAAUUAAACUGCCAAUCUGCCAUGCACAACUUGAAAUGAUUGAGAUUCUUUUUUUUUUUUUUGAAGAUUAUUUAAGCCUUGUUUUUUAUUCAAAAUCAUCAUUUUUUUUUUUAAAUUUAAUAGCCUUUUAUUUACAGGUUAUAUGCAUGGGUAACUUUACAGCAUUGACAUUUGCCAAACCUCUUGUUCCAAUUUUUCCCUCUUUCUCCCACCCUCUCCCCCAGAUGGCAGGAUGAUCAGUAGAUGUUAAAUAUAUUAAAAUAUAAAUUAGAUACACAAUUAGUAUACAUGACCAAACCGUUAUUUUGCUGUACAAAAAGAAUCAGACUCUGAAACAGUGUACAAUUAGCCUGUGAAGGAAAUAAAAAAUGCAGGUGGGCACAAAUAUCGGGAUUGGGAAUUCAAUGUAAUGGUUUUUAGUCAUCACCCAGAGUUCUUUCUCUGUGCGUAGCUGGUUCAGUUCAUUACUGCUCCAUUAGAAAUGAUUUGGUUGAUCUCGUUGCUGAGGAUGGCCUGAUCCAUCAGAACUGGUCAUCAUCUAGUAUUGUUGUUGAAGUAUAUAAUGAUCUCCUGGUCCUGCUCAUUUCACUCAGCAUCAGUUCGUGUAAGUCUCUCCAGGCCUUUCUGAAAUCAUCCUGUUGGUCAUUUCUUACAGAACAGUAAUAUUCCAUAAUAUUUAUAUACCACAAUUUAUUCAAUGAUUGAGAUUCUAAGGACAACGUCAGAAGAGGCAAUGUAGUGUAUCAUACAGCAGGGAUAUCAUACUCAAAUACAAACAGAGGCCAUUAAACUGUACAUAAUGAUCCUAAACCACAAAUUAACAUUAUGUUUUAUUGUAUUUUUAUUUUGUCAAAUAUUUCCCAAUAAAAUUUUAAUCUGCUGCAUUUCAAAGAUGAGGUUUCCAGGAAGGCGGGGUGUUGGGCACCUCUGGUGUGGAGGAAAACUCCCUGGACUGGGUCAAGAGCUUGGUUCUAAUGCUAUGUUAAAUUGGAAGUAUAUCCAAAAAAGCCAAACACCACAGAUCUUUGUAGUACAGAUUCACACCUUCAUGUUCAGUCUUCUUUUUCUCUUCUUUGUAGAGAGAUGUUCACAUUUGUUUAUAUUAAUUUAUGGUUUUUUUUUUUUAAAAGAAAAACAUUCUUCAAUGUUUUCAAAAAAGAAUGAGGUUCUAGUCCCAGCAAUCACUAGUUAGUUUGUAGGAUUGUAGAUUUUGUGCUAAAAGUAUCUCGAAAUUCAUUCGCUUCUGUUUUGCAGAUGAGGGCAUUUAGGCACAGAGAUUAAACGGUUCCCCCAGGUAAUAAAUGAUAGAGCCAGUUCUUCUAACCCUAAACCCAGGGCUCUCGUCACUCUCUGUACUCCAAUUUCUCUUCCAAGCUUUCUCGUAGUUCUAACACGCCGACCUUUCUCUUUAAAAAAAAUGGUCAGAAGCACCCUGUUUUGCAAGGGUGAAUGUUGAAAACUAUCUCUGUAUAUGUUAUUCUUUUUUAAAAAAAUUUAAUAGCCUUUUAUUUACAGGAUAUAUGCAUGGGUAACUUUACAGCAUUGACAAUUGCCAAACCUCUUGUUCCAGUUUUUCCCCUCUUUCCCCCCACCCCCUCCCCCAGAUGGCAGGAUGACCAGUAGAUGUUAAGAAAUUAUAAAUAUAUAUUAGAUAUAUAUUAGAUUAUAAUAUAUUAAUUAGAUACACAAUAUAUUAAAUUAGAUACACAAUUAGAUUAAUUAUAAUUACAUAUUAAAAUUAGAUUAAAUUAUAAUUUAGAUUAGAUACACAAUAUUAAUUAGAUUAAUUAUAAUUAUAUAUUAAAAUUAGAGUAAAUUAUAAUUUAGAUUAGAUACACAAUAAGUAUCUGUAUAUGUUAUGAAAAUAAAAAGCUAUUGUUAAAAAUGAGGGAUCUGAAAGCUACCGCUCACGUAUGAGAAGCUCUUACAAACAAUGCAGCCGGGUUCAGAUAUCCACCCCUCAAUGAGAACGACUAGCGCAGGUGAGAUGUCUAACCGCCUACACCGAACACGCUGACGGUUACUGAGGAAGCCUUCUUUGCCCGCCGCUGUGCUGACUUCGCCACCAGGCGGCGCACGCGAGCCCGGAGUUUCUGAUAAAGGACCGCAUUCCCGUUAGAGUUUAGUUACGGAGAGGUCCGGAGCUCGCCGCUCCCGCCACAGCCGGGACGCGGAUGCAGAACGCGCCCCUCAGGCGGGGCUGGCCCGCACCCGUCCCGGCCCAGCUAAGCCCCCGCCUCUGCGGGGGGCCUCCCCGGGGACCAGGCCGCUGUUGGCUUCCCCGCGCGAGCUCCUGCGUCUGCUCUCGGGGCAUCGCGGACUGACCUGAAACGUAUUGGGGGCUGCAGGUGACCACCUUCCUUUGCCGAGUGAGAGCGCCCGCUCCCUGGGGAAGUCAGUCCCUCCGUCCCUCCCACGCCCCCCCUCCCCUUUGUGUCCAGAAGGGGAAAGCCGGCACCCUCUUUUCUGGCCGUAUCCUCAGGCGGGUUUUAAGCUCCCCGAUGGUGGCCACAAAACCUCAUAGAUCGGAGCUACUCCAAAAACAUUCUCUUUCCCUUUCCGGUGACUGGCUUUUGCAGGUGAGCUUUCUGGCUCCCUUUUCUUGCCCUCCGAGCUUCAAGGCUCAGCCCUGGUUGCUGCUGCAAGAAUUACGUUUCACCUUUCCUUUAGCUUAAUUGUUCUUUCCUGCUAAGCCCCUGCGGUUACCGUGAAAUUUGCAUCAGGCGGGUGCGGUUUUGCCGCUGGAGGACGCGGCUGUUCCCUUGAUUUCCCCUUGUCCUCACGGGGGACCCAAGGCAGGUUUGGCCUCUAGAGAACCGGACUCGGGCCUGGGCAGCCUGCAGCUUUGUGACAGUCUCGCUGGCGGGCCACUUCAGUCCUGCUUGUAACGGCCCUCUUUGGGUUUUCUUGGCAAAGACCCUGGAGCGGUCGCCAUUUCCUUUUCCAGCUUAUUUUACAGAUGAGGAAACGGAGGCAAACAGGGUUAUGCGACUUGCUCAGAGUCACACUGACGUCAGGCCUGGCGUUCUAUCCACUCUGACGUGUAGUUUCCCAGGAAAGUCUAUUUUUAGAAAUGAAAGAGCUCGUAGCGCCACGAAUUGCCAAUUCAUGAGCUUUUGUAAAACUCACCCUCUAUACUUAAUAGAGGUGGCCAUGUCCCAAAUCGGUCACAUAAAUGUGCCAACUCCAAGAAGGCUGUGAAUUAUC
RNAcentral lists this long non-coding RNA (4633 nucleotides) under Sarcophilus harrisii (Tasmanian devil). Its description in RNAcentral is "lncRNA (ENSSHAG00000030821.1)". The record is from RNAcentral. Lineage: Eukaryota; Metazoa; Chordata; Mammalia; Dasyuromorphia; Dasyuridae.